UUGAGCGCUGAAGGNUGGUACUUGUACCGACUGGAUGAGCAGCGAACGGGUGAGUAACGCGUGGGGAAUCUGCCUUUGAGCGGGGGACAACAUUUGGAAACGAAUGCUAAUACCGCAUAAAAACUUUAAACACAAGUUUUAAGUUUGAAAGAUGCAAUUGCAUCACUCAAAGAUGAUCCCGCGUUGUAUUAGCUAGUUGGUGAGGUAAAGGCUCACCAAGGCGAUGAUACAUAGCCGACCUGAGAGGGUGAUCGGCCACAUUGGGACUGAGACACGGCCCAAACUCCUACGGGAGGCAGCAGUAGGGAAUCUUCGGCAAUGGACGAAAGUCUGACCGAGCAACGCCGCGUGAGUGAAGAAGGUUUUCGGAUCGUAAAACUCUGUUGGUAGAGAAGAACGUUGAUGAGAGUGGAAAGCUCAUCAAGUGACGGUAACUACCCAGAAAGGGACGGCUAACUACGUGCCAGCAGCCGCGGUAAUACGUAGGUCCCGAGCGUUGUCCGGAUUUAUUGGGCGUAAAGCGAGCGCAGGUGGUUUAUUAAGUCUGGUGUAAAAGGCAGUGGCUCAACCAUUGUAUGCAUUGGAAACUGGUAGACUUGAGUGCA
Molecule: ribosomal RNA, 605 nt
Filed under: Lactococcus lactis subsp. lactis
Lineage: Bacteria; Bacillati; Bacillota; Bacilli; Lactobacillales; Streptococcaceae
Description: bacterial SSU rRNA
Rfam family: Bacterial small subunit ribosomal RNA
Source: RNAcentral